AUCCAUGGAGAAAACAAAAAGCACAAUGUAUCACAAGUAGAAAGACCAUAACUGAAGCCCAAUCAACCAUUCAACACCCCAAGAGCCAUCUCGCUUAAGUUCCACCACCAGGCCCAAAAGAGGGCAUCAUGUAUGUAAGUAGCCAACAGUCUCACGACCCAUCAUAGCUUAGAAGAGUAAUCUAUGGACCACAAAAGACAUAAAUAAGUUCAACUUUAACCGAUGACACACCUCACAACAAUAAACGCGCCGAUGUAGAAUAUACAUC
This 268-nucleotide long non-coding RNA is filed under the name Nicotiana benthamiana. Its description in RNAcentral is "long non-coding RNA (NBEN_LNC010939)". Lineage: Eukaryota; Viridiplantae; Streptophyta; Magnoliopsida; Solanales; Solanaceae. The record is from RNAcentral.